CUGAAUUCAUCACGGGGUGGGAAGGCAGGGAGAGGCCUCUGGGACUUUGAGCUUUAUGGUUAACCCUUCAGCCCUCACGGAGGCCAUUAAAGGGAGAGCGCUGGGCUUUGGAGACCUCUCUGAAAGACCCAGCUGGAGCCUCACUGGCGGUCGCCUAACCGCUUGGCCCUUCUGUAACCUGACUCUGCUGUUGGGAUGUAAGGAGUCACUGUCCGUCUCCUUCCCAUCCUCCCUCAGCCCCCCGAUCUGCCUCCUGAAAGGUCUCCCAUGGAUCAGAUUCUCCUGCCCUGCCUGGCCCAUGGAAUAGAACAGUACUGAGAAGUAUUCUGGUUUUUUCCUUCCCUGCUGCCCAAGCAGGUGUGCAGUGCCUGAUGUUGACAUUGAAAGGGGACAUGGGAACAAAAAGGCUGUUCACUAACCCACUUACUGCUACGCAGUGAGCUAUGGGAGCCAUGCAGCUUCAGGGUUGAGCCCAGGGACUCUCCUCCGUCCACUGCAUGGGGCUGAUUUGUGGCUCUGCCGAGUUCUUAAUCACCUUCUUUGGACUCCAAGAUGCAUUUUAAUGUCAGUUUUGAAGACUUCCAAACCCUGGAUGUGAAUUCUGCUCCAGGACUCCUCCCAGUAGAGCCCGCAGGGUUGAAAGCUGAGGCUGCUAGAGACGUCUUGACCAUUCACUUACUUAACAUACAUCUGCUGAGGUCCUACUAUAAGCUGAGCACUGGGAACAGCGGCAAAAUACAGACAUGAUCCCUGACGUCCCCAGGCUUAGAAGAAGAUGAACAUGUACAGAAAUGGAUGCCCAGAGAACAGUGAUUUGCCCCAAACCCCUCAGCUAGGGAGUUACGGAAUCGGAUUCCUGUCUUGCUCUGCUGGACUCCAGGUUCCAGAGUCUCUGCACACUUCCAGCCUCACAAGCUUUUCUUUGACUUGCCUUUCUUCCUCUCAUUUGUCCACAUCCUGCCAGCAGACUAGGGCGGGAAACAGGAAGCCGACUUCCCUGAGAGGAGCCUUCUCUGGUUCCAGAACUGUUUUGAUGCUGCUAGUUCCUGGCCAUCCGCAGCUUUACCCUGGAAGCAGGCAUGCUUCCCCUCUAGGGACAGGCCUGGGCAGUCAGCAGGCUCCAAUUCCAUAAUCAAUUAUUCAACACAAAUAAGAGUUGAAUUAAAAUUUCAUGACCCCAUUGCUUUUUACCCAAGCAUCUAUCUGAAAGUGAAGACAUUUGUUUGAGUUUAGCAGUUGAAUUGCUGAAAUCUUCGUCUGAAGCCUUUCAACUUCCAUAAAUCAUUUUGGAUCCCAAGAGAUCUUGUCAUUUCCACAGUGUUCAAAGUGGAGCAGGCCUCUCUGCAGACACAAUGCCCCAGGGGUGUCAGUUGAACAGGUCCCUCUUGGGAGCAGGGCUGGGGUUUCACCCAGUGUCUGCCGGCCAGAUGGUCACCACCUCUGGUUUUAGGAGGCAAUCGCUGACAUUUGCUCAGUGGGAUCAAUAGGAUGAUUCCAGAUAAACAACAGGCAGGAAGGAUUUAGAAGGUGGCCUGCAGCUUGAGGUCGUCCCUAGAGGUUACUGGAAACCACAUCUUUGUAGACAGGGCCAGUGGGAAGGAGAGAGGUGUAUGUGUUCCCUUGUCCUCUGACCCUUCUGGUUCCUUAAGGGCAGGUGGGUAACCUUGGGGCAGUGACUCAAAUCUCUCAGUGCCUCAGUUUCCCCACAUGGAAGGCAGAGCUGUUGAACCCUCCUGACAGGGUGGUUGUGAAGGCCACGGGAGUGGACCUAUGAGCAGCUCUCAGCUCAGUGCCUGGUAGCAGGUGCUCAAAUCCAUCACUGCCGGUGGCUCGAGUUGGGUCCACAGAUGGCUGUUGACUGGGGUGAGGUGUGAUGUUGUGCCCUGACUUCCAGCCCUCACUUGUCCUAUCUGAGGUGGCUCUGGGAACCCCUGAGCAGCAGGAGAGUGGGUCAACAUUGAAUGCCCAGAGGUGAGACUCAGAGAUGUGGGCAAGGGACCUUCCUGCCCAAACAGAAAAGAUGGCUUUAGGGCAGUCUCUGCCACUGCUGAUGGGAAGGGACACUCAGCAUUUGGAGAGGCAGAGGCAAGUGAGCGAUGUCCAGAAGGUCAGGUCAGGCAUUCCAGCAACAAAGUGGACAGAGCGCAGUGUGUCUUCAGGCAGGCCGAGCUCCACCCACCAUGGGGGCUGAGGGUAGGUGAGGAGGGCAGAUCCUGACUAGGGGUAAAGCAGGGCAUCCCUAAGAUGGGAGAAAAGGCACAGAGCCUGAGCUCAGAUCCCAGCUCAGAGGGAGACUCCCAGGUCCUGGCAGGUCCCAUGGCACUCACCUUGAGGGCUUGCUGUGAAGGCAGAAGGGACAGCACUUGGAGAAGAGCUGGGGAACCCAGUGAGGCAGAAUCUCAGAGACAUUUCAAGGCAUCUAGUGGGGCUGCAGCCCCAGGACUAACUAGAGAAUCUCAUAGGAGGGAAAAAGUGAGGGAUAGGAGGGUCUGAACAGGAUGCAGAGCUAACCUUUGGAGAAUAUCAUGGCCAUGGAGAAGUGCAGGGAUUGGAGUCUUGUCCUCACCCUGCUUCUGGAUCACUGUGUGACACAGGACAAGCCACUUGUCCUCUCUGAGUUUCAUCUGCACAUCUGCAGAAUAAGAGAUGUUAACUAAGGGAUCUCUAAGACCCCCUCAGAGGGUCAGGACUUGUCUUGGUAUAGCUCUAUGUGAUGCCCCCUCUCUGCUCCUACACCCCACCCUCUACUUUAUCUGGUAAGUGGCUUUCUAGCGCAAAUUGCCUUCUGCCAGAGAAAAGUACGUCAGCUGCAGGAACCCACAGUGCCGACUCAGCAGCCCUCCAGGUCACUGCGUGAUGUCAGGACCAGCAGUAAUAGGGCUGCUUAGUUCAUUAGAGACCAGGGCUAAUAUGUCCUCACCCUUGGAGAUGCUAUUACAGGGUGGUUUCUGCAGCUUUCUCUAUGGGAGGGAAGAAAACAAGGAGAAUGGGAAACAGGAGAUGGAUCUGACUCACACCCCCAGAGGAGAGGCUGACAGCAAGCUUUUGCGCCAGUCUUAGCUUGGAAACCUGGGUGCUAGAGAGGGACAGCCACUGGGCUCUUCCAUUUCCUGUGACAGGAACUUCAGAGGAGCCCUCCUUGAGUGCAGAAGGGAUUUUUUUGGUUUAUAUAAAGAGAGGAGCUCUGAGACAGGGUAGCCGUUGGGAGCACCUUGAGUUAGUCAGGGCCUCAAAUGAUGCCAGCAGGACCGGCUCCUUUUUUUCCUCCAUCUUUUAGCAUUUCUCUACCAUGCAAAGACAUCUCAAGUCUCCUCUCCUGGUGAUGAGAUGAUUUCCAUUAGGACUGGCACUCAGCAGAAAAGGAAACUUCUCUUCCUUGUAGUUGAUCGAAAGUUCAGGGCCACUGGCUCUAAGAACCCAGCCCCACCCCUGAAUCAUCAGAAAGGAUAGAGGCCUGGAAGAUGCUGACAGCCUUAAGCCAAGCAGGGUCUACCCCAUGAGUGAGUUUAACCCUAUGAGGGCUGAGAGUUAGGGAGAGGGCACUGUUUAUCAGUAAAAGAAUCAAAAGGUACUAGGCCACAAAAACCUAUAGAUGCCUGGAGUGGGUGUGGGACAGGGAGCAAGAAAAGAAAACAUAUUAACAGAAACAAAAGGGUAGAUGGGAAAAAUACAAAUAUUUAUGCAUCAUGAUUGAUUUCAUUUCACUUUUCCAAGAAUACAAUGAUAUUGGAGGUGCUAUAUUCCUGGGUAUAGAAUUCUAGGUGUUUAGAGUUAGAAAUAUAUUCAAUACUCUCAGACCAAUCCUAUUUCCUUAUUUAUAUAGUUAUUUUAAGUAACUAAAACAUAUAUAUCUAUGGUGUAUGGCAUGGUACUCUGAAAUAUGUAUACAUUGUGGAAUAGCUACACUAAGCUAAUUAAUAUAUGCAUUACCCCACAUACUCAUUUAUUUGUGGUCAAAAUGCUUAAAAUCUAUUCAAUGUCACUUUCACAGGCAGGGUGUCAAAGUCCCAGAAAGGUUAAGUGACUGUCUCCAGGUCACUCACCUCAGGGUAAGAUGGUGGAGUAGGGAAUCCAUCUUCCCAUCUAAAUAGCAGCCACACUAGUAAAAUCUGUCUGAUAUAACUAUUUUGGAACUCUGAGGUCUAUGCAAUGGCCUGAAAGUUCUAAAGGGAAGGCUUGUGUAGUACAUCACAGCCGGUUUCCCUCAACUUCAGCUCUUAGUUGGGUAGCAGC
Molecule: long non-coding RNA, 4233 nt
Organism: Callithrix jacchus (white-tufted-ear marmoset)
Lineage: Eukaryota; Metazoa; Chordata; Mammalia; Primates; Cebidae
Source: Ensembl